GGUUAAGUUAACAAGGGCGCAUGGUGAAUGCCUUGGCACUAGGAGCCGAUGAAGGACGGGACUAACACCGAUAUGCUUCGGGGAGCUGUACGUAAGCUAUGAUCCGGAGAUUUCCGAAUGGGGCAACCCAGCAGUUUUAAUCAACUGUUACCACUAGAUGAAUUCAUAGUCUAGUUGGAGGUAAACGCUGUGAACUGAAACAUCUCAUUAGCAGCAGGAAUAUAAAGAAAUUUCGAUUCCCUAAGUAGCGGCGAGCGAACGGGGAACAGCCCAAACCAAAGUGCUUGCACUUUGGGGUUGUAGGACUGAACAUUUGAGUUACCAAAGAACUUGAUAGUCGAAGGAUUUGGGAAAAUCCGCCAUGGUGAUAGCCCAGUAGAUUAAAUCAAAUUCUCUCAGUUCAGGAUCCUGAGUACGGCGGAACACGUGAAAUUCCGUCGGAAUCCGGGAGGACCAUCUCCCAAGGCUAAAUACUACCUAGUGACCGAUAGUGAACCAGUACCGUGAGGGAAAGGUGAAAAGCACCCCGGGAGGGGAGUGAAAUAGUUCCUGAAACCAUGUGCCUACAAUAAGUCAGAGCGCGUUAAUGCGUGAUGGCGUGCCUUUUGUAGAAUGAACCGGCGAGUUAUGAUCCCGUGCAAGGUUAAGACUAAAAAGUCGGAGUCGGAGCGUAGCGAAAGCGAGUCUGAAAUGGGCGUUUUGAGUACGAGGUUAUAGACCCGAAACCAGGUGACCUAUCCAUGUCCAGGUUGAAGGUGCGGUAAAACGCACUGGAGGACCGAACCCGUGUAAGUUGAAAAUUGCUGGGAUGAGGUGUGGAUAGCGGUGAAAUUCCAAACGAACUUGGAGAUAGCUGGUUCUCUCCGAUAGCUUUAGGGCUAGCCUCGGAAUUAGGAUCAUGGAGGUAGAGCACUAUUUGGACUAGGGGCCCGUCUUGGGUUACUGAAUUCAGAUAAACUCCGAAUGCCAUUGAUUCAUAUCCGGGAGUCAGACGAUGAGUGAUAAGAUCCACCGUCGAAAGGGGAACAGCCCAGACCAUCAGUUAAGGUCCCUAAAUGUAUGCUAAGUGGAAAAGGAUGUGGAGCAUAGACAACUAGGAUGUUGGCUCAGAAGCAGCCACCAUUUAAAGAGUGCGUAAUAGCUCACUAGUCGAGUGAUCCUGCGCCGAAAAUGUACCGGGGCUAAGCAUACUACCGAAACCAUGGAUGCGACCAUUAGGUCGCGUGAUAGGAGAGCGUUCUAAGGGCGGUGAAGCAAGAUCGUGAGGACUUGUGGAGCGCUUAGAAGUGAGAAUGCCGGUAUGAGUAGCGAAAGAUAGGUGAAAUCCUAUCCACCGAAUGACUAAGGUUUCCUGGGGAAGGCUCGUCCUCCCAGGGGUAGUCGGGACCUAAGUCGAGGCCGAGAGGCGUAGACGAUGGAUAACAGGUUGAGAUUCCUGUACUAGUUAAGUGCGUUUGAGCAAUGGAGGGACGCAGCAGGAGGCUAAGAUGUGCAUUCUGUUGGAUUAGAAUGUCCAAGCAGUAAGUCUUGUGAAGAGUCAAAUGCUUUUCACUUUAAGGACAAGCUGUGAUGGGGAGCGAAAUUUAGUAGCGAAGCGUCUGAUGUCACACUGCCGAGAAAAGCUUCUAGUGAGUACUUAACUACCCGUACCGCAAACCGACACAGGUAGUCGAGGAGAGAAUCCUAAGGUGAGCGAGUGAACUCUCGUUAAGGAACUCGGCAAAAUGACCCCGUAACUUCGGGAGAAGGGGUGCUGAUCGCAAGAUCAGCCGCCGCAGUGAAUAGGCCCAGGCGACUGUUUAUCAAAAACACAGGUCUCUGCAAAAUCGUAAGAUGACGUAUAGGGGCUGACGCCUGCCCGGUGCUGGAAGGUUAAAAAAGGAUGGGUUAGCUUCGGCGAAGCUCAGAAUUGAAGCCCCAGUAAACGGCGGCCGUAACUAUAACGGUCCUAAGGUAGCGAAAUUCCUUGUCGGGUAAGUUCCGACCCGCACGAAAGGCGUAACGAUCUGGGCACUGUCUCAACGAGAGACUCGGUGAAAUUAUAUUGUCCGAUGAAGAUGGACUACCCGCGACAGGACGGAAAGACCCCAUGGAGCUUUACUGUAGCUUGAUAUUGAGUGUUUGUACAGCUUGUACAGGAUAGGUAGGAGCCAUAGAAACCGGAACGCUAGUUUCGGUGGAGGCGUUGGUGGGAUACUACCCUCGCGCUGUAUGACCACUCUAACCCGCACCACUAAUCGUGGUGGGAGACAGUGUCAGGUGGGCAGUUUGACUGGGGCGGUCGCCUCCUAAAAAGUAACGGAGGCGCCCAAAGGUUCCCUCAGAAUGGUUGGAAAUCAUUCGCAGAGUGUAAAGGCACAAGGCACAAGGGAGCUUGACUGCGAGAGACAGACAGGUCGAGCAGGGACGAAAGUCGGGCUUAGUGAUCCGGUGGUACCGUAUGGAAGGGCCAUCGCUCAACGGAUAAAAGCUACCCUGGGGAUAACAGGCUUAUCUCCCCCAAGAGUCCACAUCGACGGGGAGGUUUGGCACCUCGAUGUCGGCUCAUCGCAUCCUGGGGCUGUAGUCGGUCCCAAGGGUUGGGCUGUUCGCCCAUUAAAGCGGUACGCGAGCUGGGUUCAGAACGUCGUGAGACAGUUCGGUCCCUAUCCGUCGCGGGCGUAGGAAAUUUGAGAGGACCUGUCCUUAGUACGAGAGGACCGGGAUGGACAUACCUCUGGUGUACCAGUUGUGCCGCCAGGCGCAUCGCUGGGUAGCUACGUAUGGAUGUGAUAAACGCUGAAAGCAUCUAAGUGUGAAACACACCUCGAGAUGAGAUUUCCCAUUCCUUUAUGGAAGUAAGACCCCUGAAAGAUGAUCAGGUAGAUAGGUUAGAAGUGGCAGUGCGGUGACGCAUGAAGCGGACUAAUACUAAUCGGUCGAGGACUUAACCAA
RNAcentral lists this ribosomal RNA (2934 nucleotides) under Lactiplantibacillus plantarum. RNAcentral describes it as "23S ribosomal RNA". It matches the Rfam family "Bacterial large subunit ribosomal RNA". The record is from RNAcentral. Lineage: Bacteria; Bacillati; Bacillota; Bacilli; Lactobacillales; Lactobacillaceae.